Molecule: long non-coding RNA, 1433 nt
Filed under: Helianthus annuus (common sunflower)
Lineage: Eukaryota; Viridiplantae; Streptophyta; Magnoliopsida; Asterales; Asteraceae
Description: hypothetical non coding rna
Source: RNAcentral
GUCGUUUUAGAAGGAGGGAAAUACUUAUACAAAAACUUUUGGGCUAGUUCAUCCCAAGUGUUUACCGAACCCACUGGGAGGGUGUUAAGCCAAGCCUUAGCUCGGUCAUUUAGUGAAAAUGGGAGCAUUCGGAGGCGGAUGGCGUCAUUCGAUGCUCUGUUGAUCCGAAAAGUAUCACAUAUUAUAACAACCUUAACGUAAACCGACACCCUCAUAGAUUUUUCGACACCCUAAUAUAUCUUAAAAUGUCUCAAUAUGUCUCUAUAUGCACCCCGUAUGUGAAAACCAAGCCUGAAAUACGUUAUAGUUUAUAAAAAUAAAAUAAAAAUCUGAAUUUAGAGCUGAGGCGGGCCGCGUACGAUCCCACCUCAAGCUCACGCGGGCCGUAUGAGAGCACUAACCGGACUCCGCUGAAUUCUUUAGUUCAAGCGGGCCGCGUAAGCUUAAGCUUACAUUGACGCGGGCCGCGCGGACUCAUAAAACGCGGAUACAUCCGGAGCUGACACGUGUCAGCACCGUGUCAAGUCUACUUGGUGACCCAGCCAAGCUACGCGUUGACCCAGCGUUGACGCGGGCCGCGUAAGCUUGGCCUGUUCUUUACGCGGGCCGCGUGGAGACUCGAUUACAGCCCUAUAUAAGAGGGCAACGGGCCUUCAGUCUGUUUCGUUCAUUCCUUUCUUUCAAUCUAAAUUUCUGAAGUAGCGUUUUUAUACCCGGGCAUUAUACCCCCUAAAAUAGUGAGGUUCUGCUACGAUGUAAGUAUUAUAACCCCUGGAGACGUAUUAGAUACGCUGCCCGAUUGAUCUAGGGUUCCGUAACGGCUGUCGUGAUUCUGCCCGACGUAGUCGUUGGAAUGUCGUCUCGGGGAGGAUAUUCACCAGGAAACCCUAAAGGAUAACCUAAAACAGCAAUGUGAGUAAUCCUCUUUUUGUUAAAUGUUUUUACAAAACCUUACAUACUUUUCCAUGCGAAUAACAGUUAUUGAGUAUUUGUAAGAAUACAAUUAUCAUGGGUAUGUUGGGGUUUUGUAUACAAAAUCUGUUACCACCUGGUUAAGGAGUAACAUUUCCACAAGUCAGGUCUGGCAGUACCAACGGGUGAUAAUUGAUAUAACUUGGAAACAAAUGUAAUUGCGGGAUGCGCCCUCAAUACUGUUCACUGUGAAAUAAUUUGAAACUUGAUUAAACUGGGAUUCACUCACCAGUAUUUCCCACUGACAAAAUGUUUUUAAAACGCGUUUCAGGUAACAAAAUGUGAAAGCCAAAUAGAAGCCAGCUGGACAGCACUGCAGGCUUGGAAAAGUGGCAAUAAAGUUACUUAAGAAUAAAAUAGAUGUUUUUAUUAAAUAAAUAGGAUUUAUUCCUAUGAAAUGUGUGUAUUGAAAACUUGGGUUUUACCCAUGUGUUUAAUGUUAUAAAACAUGGUGGUUUACU